Molecule: ribosomal RNA, 404 nt
Filed under: Lumbricus terrestris (common earthworm)
Lineage: Eukaryota; Metazoa; Annelida; Clitellata; Crassiclitellata; Lumbricidae
Description: partial 12S ribosomal RNA
Rfam family: Bacterial small subunit ribosomal RNA
Source: RNAcentral
GAUACCCGUCUAUUCAUGAAAUAAAUAAAGUCGAAAAAUACGAACCACAGUUUAAAACUUAAAGAUUUUGGCGGUGUCUCAUCGAACCAGGGGAACCUGUCUCAUAACUCGAUAAUCCACGAACUCUUCACCCUCCCUAGAUCAAACAGCUUGUGUACUGCCGUCGUAAGCACACCUCUAAAAGCCRAACGAGUAUGCAACUAUGAUUAACUCAUAUACGUCAGGUCAAAGUGCAGCCAAUGAGAGGGCGAUGAUGGGUUACACCCUAAAUAAAGAUACGGAGCACAACACUAAAAGUUGUACAAAGGUGGACUUGGAUGUAAUAAAGAUACAAAGUCAAAAUGAAGACGAAUCUGAGACAUGCACACAUCGCCCGUCACUCUCGCCCAAAGGCGAGAUAAGUC